CCCCUAGAUGUUCUGGGCCGCACGCGCGCUACACUGAACAGUUCAACAAGUCUUAACCUUGGCCGAUAGGUCUGGGUAAUCUUUGAACGCUGUUCGUGAUUGGGAUAGACCUUUGCAAUUAUGGGUCUUCAACGAGGAAUUCCUAGGAAACGCAAGUCAUCAGCUUGCAUUGAUUACGUCCCUGCCCUUUGUACACACCGCCCGUCGCACCUACCGAUUGAAUGGUCCGGUGAAAUCUCGGGACGGCGGCUUGGUCGCUUGCGUCCGACUGCUGAAACUUGAUUAAACCAUNUNAUUUAGNGGAAGGUGAANUCGUANCA
Molecule: ribosomal RNA, 320 nt
Filed under: uncultured eukaryote
Lineage: Eukaryota
Description: partial 18S ribosomal RNA
Rfam family: Eukaryotic small subunit ribosomal RNA
Source: RNAcentral